This 48-nucleotide transfer RNA is filed under the name Anopheles pharoensis. RNAcentral describes it as "partial tRNA-Ser". Lineage: Eukaryota; Metazoa; Arthropoda; Insecta; Diptera; Culicidae. The record is from RNAcentral.
GCAUAUGUCUUGAAAACAUAAGAAAGAAGUAAAGUCUUCUAUUAAUUU